UUCCCUCCUACGGGAGGCAGCAGUGGGGGAUAUUGCACAAUGGGGGGAACCCUGAUGCAGCGACGCCGCGUGAGUGAGGAAGUAUUUCGGUAUGUAAAGCUCUAUCAGCAGGGAAGAAAAUGACGGUACCUGACUAAGAAGCCCCGGCUAACUACGUGCCAGCAGCCGCGGUAAUACGUAGGGGGCAAGCGUUAUCCGGAUUUACUGGGUGUAAAGGGAGCGUAGACGGCAGCGCAAGUCUGGAGUGAAAUGCCGGGGCCCAACCCCGGAACUGCUUUGGAAACUGUGCAGCUCGAGUGCAGGAGAGGUAAGCGGAAUUCCUAGUGUAGCGGUGAAAUGCGUAGAUAUUAGGAGGAACACCAGUGGCGAAGGCGGCUUACUGGACUGUAACUGACGUUGAGGCUCGAAAGCGUGGGGAGCAAACAGGAUUAGAUACCCUAGUAAU
Molecule: ribosomal RNA, 445 nt
Filed under: uncultured bacterium
Lineage: Bacteria
Description: bacterial SSU rRNA
Rfam family: Bacterial small subunit ribosomal RNA
Source: RNAcentral